RNAcentral lists this ribosomal RNA (1071 nucleotides) under Triticum aestivum (bread wheat). RNAcentral describes it as "partial small subunit ribosomal RNA". The record is from RNAcentral. Lineage: Eukaryota; Viridiplantae; Streptophyta; Magnoliopsida; Poales; Poaceae.
AUGAACAUACUGGACUACCUGAAGCCUGAUAAAUUUCCAGACAAGUAUAACCUCAAACGGUACACAAAGACUGCAAAAUCACAACCAACAUUUGAUACAAGGGACUACAACACGACUCUAUCGGAUGGCAGCUCAAGACUAUCGAAGCAAGACAUCUUGCUGCAGCUAAAUUUGAUGGUUAACAAGAAAGCGAUGAGAUGUGACCAGCAAUAUGACAGAGCCUUCUAUGUUCUCAAGAGGCUAGUGGAAGAGCUUGAUGCAAUACAUUUAGCAAAUCGAAUGAAUGCUGACCAAAGGAUGGCUGAAGAGGAUGCUGAAAUUGAAGAUGACCUUCAUUAUUAUGCAGCUGAAAUGCCCCAGGCCACUACUCAAGCCAACCAAUCUAAGCAGGGUGUUGACCAAUUAAUGCAGCAGCAGCAACAAGAGAUGAUGAAACUGCCUCUGUACUCUGAAACAAAUUGUAGGAAGAAAAUUUCUGCAGCAAAGAAAAGUGAGAGAGCUCAAAUAAAGGCACCACCUGUAGCAAGAGUCAACGUGCUCGAUGGGAACGGAGUGCCACUUGGACACAAGCAAUGUAGUGUGCGCAAAAAGGUUGCAGGACCCAACAAGCUCACCUGUCCAACACUCUUAGAAAGAAACAAUACAAAGGAGGUCAAGCAACCCAAAGUUCAAAAACAGCAGCAUAAAGUUAUAGAACAAAACAAGGGACCACACCCACAGAAAGCAAGCAGCGGACUUUGUAGCAUAUGCAAGAAGUAUGAACCACAUAAUGCAAGAACAUGCCCGAAGCACGCUGAUGCUGAAAAUACAAGCAAAAAGCCAGAGAAGAAGCAGAAAGCAAAACCUAGAGCCAACAACAAUAAAGUGGUGGAAGAUCAAGAGGAAGACGAAGAUGAAGACGCCAUGGAAGAAGAGGAAGAGGAAGAGGAAGAAGAAGACGACGAUGAAGAGGAAGAGGACAAUGAAGUGGAAGAGGACGAUGAAGAGGAAGAGAAGAUGAAGAGGAAAUGGAAAAGGUGCAUGUCAAGCAAAAACCACUACAACCAAAGCCUAGGAGGAGUGCAUGGCUGA